UGCUGUGAGCUCGAUGAGUAAGGCGGGACACGUGGUAUCCUGUCUGAAUAUGGGGGGACCAUCCUCCAAGGCUAAAUACUCCUGACUGACCGAUAGUGAACCAGUACCGUGAGGGAAAGGCGAAAAGAACCCCGGCGAGGGGAGUGAAACAGAACCUGAAACCGUGUACGUACAAGCAGUGGGAGCCCUCUUUAUGGGGGUGACUGCGUACCUUUUGUAUAAUGGGUCAGCGACUUAUAUUCUGUAGCAAGGUUAACCGUAUAGGGGAGCCGCAGGGAAACCGAGUCUUAACUGGGCGUUAAGUUGCAGGGUAUAGACCCGAAACCCGGUGAUCUAGCCAUGGGCAGGUUGAAGGUUGGGUAACACUAACUGGAGGACCGAACCGACUAAUGUUGAAAAAUUAGCGGAUGACCUGUGGCUGGGGGUGAAAGGCCAAUCAAACCGGGAGAUAGCUGGUUCUCCCCGAAAGCUAUUUAGGUAGCGCCUCGUGAACUCAUCCUCGGGGGUAGAGCACUGUUUCGGCUAGGGGGCCAUCCCGGCUUACCAACCCGAUGCAAACUGCGAAUACCGAGGAAUGUUAUCACGGGAGACACACGGCGGGUGCUAACGUCCGUCGUGAAGAGGGAAACAACCCAGACCGCCAGCUAAGGUCCCAAAGUCAUGGUUAAGUGGGAAACGAUGUGGGAAGGCACAGACAGCCAGGAUGUUGGCUUAGAAGCAGCCAUCAUUUAAAGAAAGCGUAAUAGCUCACUGGUCGAGUCGGCCUGCGCGGAAGAUGUAACGGGGCUAAACCAUGCACCGAAGCUGCGGCAGCGACAC
RNAcentral lists this ribosomal RNA (819 nucleotides) under Pantoea vagans. Its description in RNAcentral is "partial 23S ribosomal RNA". It matches the Rfam family "Bacterial large subunit ribosomal RNA", at positions 395 to 1214 of the family's 2925-position model. Lineage: Bacteria; Pseudomonadati; Pseudomonadota; Gammaproteobacteria; Enterobacterales; Erwiniaceae. The record is from RNAcentral.